Non-coding RNA from Paramuricea clavata, 293 nucleotides. The record is from the annotation of a GenBank genome assembly. NCBI's taxonomy places the organism in Eukaryota, Metazoa, Cnidaria, Anthozoa, Malacalcyonacea, Plexauridae.
UCGCCAUUUUCCGGUUUCCGUUCCCUUGUCAAUUCUAAGAUACGAUGGCAUAAUUUGUUCUUGAUACAAGUACUCUAGAUACUUUUUCCCAACUAUGCGUGGGUCAGAGUUUGAAUAACAAACAAAAAGAAACAGGAUUUUCCUUGAAAAUGUAUCCAAACAACCGUAAAUACAUAUGGGGAACGUCGAAUUUUGAUAUCCGCAGAGUUUAUCGUGUCCGUCAAGCGAUACAACCCAUAAAGGACCAUUCGAAGUAAAUGCCACUUUCGUUUUUUUUGCUUUCUUUCGUAAAC